Molecule: non-coding RNA, 285 nt
Organism: Pelobates cultripes (western spadefoot toad)
Lineage: Eukaryota; Metazoa; Chordata; Amphibia; Anura; Pelobatidae
Source: the annotation of a GenBank genome assembly
AGUGAAUGUGUGACUAGUGACAAAGUGAGGGAGGGGUGACUAGAGACGGGGGGGAGACUAUUGAGGGAGGGGGUGACUAGUGACAGAGGGAGGGAGAUGGUGACUGUCACUAGUCACCCCAUCCCUCCCUCUGUCACUAGUCACUCCCUCCCUAACUCUGUCACUAGUCAUCCCCUCACUCUGUCACUAGUCACCCACCCCAUCCCUCCCUCUGUCACUGUCACCCCAUCCCUCCCUCUGUCACCCCAUCCCUCACUCUGUCACCAGUCCCCCCCUCCCCACUGU